RNAcentral lists this ribosomal RNA (468 nucleotides) under uncultured bacterium. RNAcentral describes it as "partial 16S ribosomal RNA". It matches the Rfam family "Bacterial small subunit ribosomal RNA", at positions 28 to 507 of the family's 1533-position model. The record is from RNAcentral.
GACGAACGCUGGCGGCGUGCUUAACACAUGCAAGUCGAACGGUGAUGCUCCAGCUUGCUGGAGUGGAUCAGUGGCGAACGGGUGAGUAACACGUGAGCAACCUGCCCCAGACUCUGGAAUAAGCGCUGGAAACGGCGUCUAAUACUGGAUACGAAACUGGCCCGCAUGGGCAUGGUUUGGAAAGUUUUUCGGUUUGGGAUGGGCUCGCGGCCUAUCAGCUUGUUGGUGAGGUAAUGGCUCCCCAAGGCGACGACGGGUAGCCGGCCUGAGAGGGCGACCGGCCACACUGGGACUGAGACACGGCCCAGACUCCUACGGGAGGCAGCAGUGGGGAAUAUUGCACAAUGGGCGAAAGCCUGAUGCAGCGACGCCGCGUGAGGGAUGACGGCCUUCGGGUUGUAAACCUCUUUCAGCAGGGAAGAAGCGAAAGUGACGGUACCUGCAGAAGAAGCACCGGCUAACUACGUG